GAUGAAGGAACGUAGCGAAAUGCGAUAAGUAGUGUGAAUUGCAGAAUUCAGUGAAUCAUCGAAUCUUUGAACGCACAUUGCGCCCUUUGGUAUUCCAAAGGGCAUGCCUGUUCGAGCGUCAUUUGUACCCUCAAGCUUUGCUUGGUGUUGGGCGUCUUGUCUCUAGCUUUGCUGGAGACUCGCCUUAAAGUAAUUGGCAGCCGGCCUACUGGUUUCGGAGCGCAGCACAAGUCGCACUCUCUAUCAGCAAAGGUCUAGCAUCCAUUAAGCCUUUUUUUUCAACUUUUGACCUCGGAUCAGGUAGGGAUACCCGCUGAACUUAAGCAUAUCAAUAAGCGGAGGA
This 343-nucleotide unclassified non-coding RNA is filed under the name soil metagenome. Its description in RNAcentral is "partial contains 5.8S ribosomal RNA, internal transcribed spacer 2, and large subunit ribosomal RNA". The stretch from base 1 to 121 matches the Rfam family "5.8S ribosomal RNA", at positions 35 to 154 of the family's 154-position model. The record is from RNAcentral.